RNAcentral lists this unclassified non-coding RNA (335 nucleotides) under soil metagenome. RNAcentral describes it as "partial contains 5.8S ribosomal RNA, internal transcribed spacer 2, and large subunit ribosomal RNA". The stretch from base 1 to 120 matches the Rfam family "5.8S ribosomal RNA", at positions 35 to 154 of the family's 154-position model. The record is from RNAcentral.
GAUGAAGAACGCAGCGAAAUGCGAUAAGUAAUGUGAAUUGCAGAAUUCAGUGAAUCAUCGAAUCUUUGAACGCACAUUGCGCCCGCCAGUAUUCUGGCGGGCAUGCCUGUUCGAGCGUCAUUUCAACCAUCAAGCCCCGGGCUUGUGUUGGGGACCUGCGGCUGCCGCAGGCCCUGAAAUCCAGUGGCGGUCUCGCCGUCGCACCGAGCGUAGUAGCAUACUUCUCGCUCCGGGCGCGCGGCGGGCACCUGCCGUAAAACCCCCCUAUUUCUCAAGGUUGACCUCGGAUCAGGUAGGAAUACCCGCUGAACUUAAGCAUAUCAAUAAGCGGAGGA